GACGAACGCUGGCGGCGUGCCUAAUACAUGCAAGUAGGACGCUGAAGGAGGAGCUUGCUUCUCUGGAAGAGUUGCGAACGGGUGAGUAACGCGUAGGUAACCUGCCUGGUAGCGGGGGAUAACUAUUGGAAACGAUAGCUAAUACCGCAUAAUAGUAGAUGUUGCAUGACAUUUGCUUAAAAGGUGCAAUUGCAUCACUACCAGAUGGACCUGCGUUGUAUUAGCUAGUUGGUGGGGUAACGGCUCACCAAGGCGACGAUACAUAGCCGACCUGAGAGGGUGAUCGGCCACACUGGGACUGAGACACGGCCCAGACGCCUACGGGAGGCAGCAGUAGGGAAUCGUCGGCAAUGGACGGAAGUCUGACCGAGCAACGCCGAGUGAGUGAAGAAGGUUUUCGGAUCGUAAAGCUCUGUUGUAAGAGAAGAACGAGUGUGAGAGUGGAAAGUUCACACUGUGACGGUAUCUUAACAGAAAGGGACGGCUAACUACGUG
Molecule: ribosomal RNA, 495 nt
Filed under: uncultured bacterium
Lineage: Bacteria
Description: partial 16S ribosomal RNA
Rfam family: Bacterial small subunit ribosomal RNA
Source: RNAcentral